GAAAAAAAUAUUUUAUGUUUAUAAAAUUUUAAUUUAUCUAUAAAUUUACAUAAAGGGUGUGUAAGAAACUAUAAUCAUGUAAGAAACCUAAAAUUAUAAAUUUUCGAAUUUUGAUUGAAUAUAUAUACUAUAUAAUAUCAAACCACCUAUUAAAUCUAUUGCAAAUUUACAUGGAAAUAUGUAAAAUGGAAGAUUAGUAGCGGUCCCUGC
This 210-nucleotide long non-coding RNA is filed under the name Salvia miltiorrhiza (redroot sage). Its description in RNAcentral is "long non-coding RNA (SMIL_LNC008548)". The record is from RNAcentral. Lineage: Eukaryota; Viridiplantae; Streptophyta; Magnoliopsida; Lamiales; Lamiaceae.